Non-coding RNA from Oryza glumipatula, 206 nucleotides. NCBI's taxonomy places the organism in Eukaryota, Viridiplantae, Streptophyta, Magnoliopsida, Poales, Poaceae. The record is from Rfam.
AAAAAUGACAAACUCUACUUUUCGUGUCCAAAAUUUGACCGUCCGUCUUAUUUGAAAAAAAUAUGAAAAAAAAUAAAAAAAUAAGUCACACAUAAAGUAUUAAUCAUGUUUUAUCAUCUAACAAUAAUGAAAAUACUAAUUAUAAAAAAAAUUUAUAUAAGACAGACAGUCAAACGUUGACACAGAAAUCAGUGUUUGUCUUUUUU